UGGUUAGUCUAAACAAUGUAGUGAGGCAGUUGUGUUGUGUGAUUUACAAGAUUGUUUGGAUUACUACACACUAGUAGGGAUUUUGCAAGGCAUUUUGCAAGGUUUGGUAGAGACCUGGAAGUUGCACUAAUGAUUACUUGUCAUGUCAUUAUCAUGGGAAUUUACUGGACCAAGCCCUGGUUUACUCACAUCCAUCCAGUAUUUAAGACUCAGUACCACAGAUGCCAGAUUAAAUACAGACUGUGACAUUACAGUUACUGGACAAGAACCUCUGCACAAGGAUGAAGACAUUGCAUGCAGUGCUGCUGAUGCUGUUUGUUGCAUCAGUCUUUUCAAAAGCGUUUGAUUCGCGCAGAAGAUUUGAUUCAUCACACUCUGUGCGAUCUAGAUUCAGUUCAGAGGAAAAUGAUUCAAGCAGAGAAGACAGGGAGGAUUCACAGUCCGAUGAGAAAUCCGAAUCAAACGAGUCUAAAUCAAGUGACUCUGAAUCUUCGGAGGAAGAUAUCAGAGUUGUGUCAGGCACAUUCCCUCCAGCUAGCACAACAAGUCCCCUGAUCGCUGGAAAGACAACAACAACAACAGCUACCAUGACACAAGACAUCACACACUGUGUUACUGUGGAUCUGACAGCUAAUGUAUAAGAAUGGGUGAUGAUAAUAAUGUCAAUAUAAUACCUUGCAGUAAUACUGUUUAAUGUUUUCAUGCAAAACAAAGAAAAGUUGAAUGAUGUACAAUUAACUAUUUUACAGUAUAAAAUAAUGUUUAUGUACUGAUAAUGAUACUGAAUGAUGUAACUUUUAAAAUUAUUUACUUUUAAAUUGCAGGUCCCCAUUAUGGUUUUAAGUGUUCAUUCAGAAUAAAUAAUCUUUCAAGUGCAA
Cyprinus carpio (common carp) is the source of this 878-nucleotide long non-coding RNA. RefSeq lists it as uncharacterized. NCBI's taxonomy places the organism in Eukaryota, Metazoa, Chordata, Actinopteri, Cypriniformes, Cyprinidae. The record is from RefSeq and is a predicted model, not a curated record.